CACAAGCCAAUAGGCACAAACAAACAACUUGGCAUCAACCUACAAAACAACUCAAAGUUAGCCAACAUCUAGAGCAAACAUCAAUGCUCAAGUGAGGAAGCAUCAUCCACUAUGGACUUGGAUGUGUAAACCUGAAAUCAAAGCUCAACUGUGAGUCACAAACCACUAGGUCAAGGCCUAGGGUCAACGAUGGAGAAAAAAUU
RNAcentral lists this long non-coding RNA (203 nucleotides) under Lathyrus oleraceus (garden pea). Its description in RNAcentral is "Pisum sativum (pea) long non-coding RNA (PSAT_LNC015053)". Lineage: Eukaryota; Viridiplantae; Streptophyta; Magnoliopsida; Fabales; Fabaceae. The record is from RNAcentral.